GACGAACGCUGGCGGCGUGCUUAACACAUGCAAGUCGAACGGAAAGGCCCUGCUUUUGUGGGGUGCUCGAGUGGCGAACGGGUGAGUAACACGUGAGUAACCUGCCCUUGACUUUGGGAUAACUUCAGGAAACUGGGGCUAAUACCGGAUAGGAGCUCCUGCUUCAUGGUGGGGGUUGGAAAGUUUCGGCGGUUGGGGAUGGACUCGCGGCUUAUCAGCUUGUUGGUGGGGUAGUGGCUUACCAAGGCUUUGGCGGGUAGCCGGCCUGAGAGGGUGACCGGCCACAUGGGGACUGAGAUACGGCCCAGACUCCUACGGGAGGCAGCAGUGGGGAAUAUUGCACAAUGGGCGGAAGCCUGAUGCAGCAACGCCGCGUGCGGGAUGACGGCCUUCGGGUUGUAAACCGCUUUCGCCUGUGACGAAGCGUGAGUGACGGUAAUGGGUAAAGAAGCACCGGCUAACUACGUG
This 468-nucleotide ribosomal RNA is filed under the name uncultured bacterium. RNAcentral describes it as "partial 16S ribosomal RNA". It matches the Rfam family "Bacterial small subunit ribosomal RNA", at positions 28 to 507 of the family's 1533-position model. The record is from RNAcentral.